UUCUUUUCUUUUCUUUUUCAUUUCUCCCUUGUGUUUCCCUUCCUUUCCUCACUGACCCUUGCUGUGUCAGCCUUUCUAUGCAUGAUCGGUUUGCUGUGAUCUAUGGAAAACUCCCACCUCAGGAAUUUGAAGCCUGUGCCAUUCCAGAAGCACCAAUAGUUUAUCUGGAAGCUGAAGGAAUACUGAAAACGAAGCCACUGUUGCCAUCUGUUGCCUGAUUGGACUAUAACAACUGUGACACAGCUGAAGAUGAGCAAGAGGAAAUUAAGCUGGGAGGAAGCUUUGUGACAUUCUUCUCCUGGAGGGCAAUUCCAGACAUACUCAGAUGGUGACGUGAGCCUACACCUCUCUCUGGAUGCAGGAUCCUAACAUCACGUGCCUGCAGGAGCAACAGGACGCCCUUGAACUUGUGGAACAAUUUCUCUUUGAAAGAAAACCUCGGAGCUACCCUGCCAGAAGAAACUAGCUGUUUCCAGGAGAUAUUUUUUUUCAGUAUUCAGAGGGAUAAUACUAAAUAACUCCGUUCAACAGAAGUACCCUCACAGAAAGAACGUUUGACACCACAACUUCAUCUUUUAUUAAGGAUUGUAUGUACCACUGAUCAUUUGGAGAACAUAUUUCCUUUCUGGUGAAAUUGCUGUUGAAGAUACUUUCCAUUAGCUUGUUUUGUGUCCUUUAUGUAAAACUCCGUCAGUGACCCCUCUUAAGAGUUUUAGUGCCCUGACGGACUAUGUCUAUUGUGACACUUCCUGUAAUCAACCAGAGAGUGCAAUGUAUCUCCUCCUGCAGUGCUUUCCUGCCCAGCUUUCUAGCUGGUUCCAAAAAGUAAAGCUAAGUGUACAUGCCGCUGCAGAGGUUAUAUUUAGCCAAAGUUUUCUUACCCAUCCAUCUCUUCUUUUUUGUUCUUGAUCUCAUCUUCUUUUUCUAGUUUUGCUAGAUCUGAUCGUACUUGCAUCUUAAUAUAGAAUAUCAUAGGUUUAUAAAUGACAAAUAAAUAAUAAAAUUUGAGCUUGUUGAAAAUGUUAAAGACCACAAAAGGACGUUUUUGUCUGUGUUUGAAAAUAGAAGAACAGGAAGUGAUCACCAGGCUGCCUGUGGCAGAUGGUGUAAUGAUAACAGAUAAUAAAACUAUU
Long non-coding RNA from Suricata suricatta (meerkat), 1133 nucleotides. RefSeq lists it as uncharacterized. The record is from RefSeq and is a predicted model, not a curated record. The transcript is spliced from 5 exons. Lineage: Eukaryota; Metazoa; Chordata; Mammalia; Carnivora; Herpestidae.